UGCAAGUCGAACGAUGAAGACCGUGCUUGCACGGUUGGAUUAGUGGCGAACGGGUGAGUAUCACGUGAGUAACCUUCCCUUGACUCUGGGAUAAGCCCGGGAAACUGGGUCUAAUACCGGAUACGACCAGUCCUCGCAUGGGGUGCUGGUGGAAAGAUUUAUCGGUCUUGGAUGGACUCGCGGCCUAUCAGCUUGUUGGUGAGGUAAUGGCUCACCAAGGCGAUGACGGGUAGCCGGCCUGAGAGGGUGACCGGCCACACUGGGACUGAGACACGGCCCAGACUCCUACGGGAGGCAGCAGUGGGGAAUAUUGCACAAUGGGCGAAAGCCUGAUGCAGCGACGCCGCGUGCGGGAUGACGGCCUUCGGGUUGUAAACCGCUUUCAGCAGGGAAGAAGCGAAAGUGACGGUACCUGCAGAAGAAGCGCCGGCUAACUACGUGCCAGCAGCCGCGGUAAUACGUAGGGCGCGAGCGUUAUCCGGAAUUAUUGGGCGUAAAGAGCUCGUAGGCGGUUUGUCACGUCUGCUGUGAAAGCCCGAGGCUCAACCUCGGGUGUGCAGUGGGUACGGGCAGACUAGAGUGCAGUAGGGGAGACUGGAAUUCCUGGUGUAGCGGUGAAAUGCGCAGAUAUCAGGAGGAACACCGAUGGCGAAGGCAGGUCUCUGGGCUGUUACUGACGCUGAGGAGCGAAAGCAUGGGGAGCGAACAGGAUUAGAUACCCUGGUAGUCCAUGCCGUAAACGUUGGGCACUAGGUGUG
This 758-nucleotide ribosomal RNA is filed under the name Nesterenkonia sp. qm9-11. Its description in RNAcentral is "bacterial SSU rRNA". It matches the Rfam family "Bacterial small subunit ribosomal RNA", at positions 56 to 824 of the family's 1533-position model. RNAcentral also lists the same sequence under 1 other name. Lineage: Bacteria; Bacillati; Actinomycetota; Actinomycetes; Micrococcales; Micrococcaceae. The record is from RNAcentral.